RNAcentral lists this ribosomal RNA (1241 nucleotides) under metagenome. RNAcentral describes it as "bacterial LSU rRNA". It matches the Rfam family "Bacterial large subunit ribosomal RNA", at positions 1564 to 2813 of the family's 2925-position model. The record is from RNAcentral.
UGAAUACGAGAUGCUACGGCGUCGAAGCAGUGUAUGUCAGACUUCCAAGAAAAGCUCGCAAUGUCAUAAAUAAAGAAUGCCUGUACCAUAACCGACACAGGUGGGUAGGUAGAGUAUACUAAGGGGCGCGAGAUAACUCUCUCUAAGGAACUCGGCAAAAUAACUCCGUAACUUCGGGAGAAGGAGUGCCUUCUUUAAGAAGGUUGCAAUAACAAGAUCCAAGCAACUGUUUAUCAAAAACACAGGUCUCCGCUAAGUCGUAAGACGAUGUAUGGGGGCUGACGCCUGCCCAGUGCCAGAAGGUUAAAGAAGUUGGUUAGCUUUUGCGAAGCUGAUGACUGAAGCCCUGGUGAACGGCGGCCGUAACGAUAACGGUCCUAAGGUAGCGAAAUUCCUUGUCGGGUAAGUUCCGACCCGCACGAAAGGCGUAAUGAUUUGGAUACUGUCUCGGAGAGGGACUCGGUGAAAUAGACUUGUCUGUGAAGAUGCGGACUACCUGCACCAGGACAGAAAGACCCUAUGAAGCUUUACUGUAACUUGAAAUUGAAAUUGGACUUUAUUUGCGCAGUAUAGGUGGAAGGCGUUGAAAGUAAUCUUGCGGGAUUAGUGGAGCCAUCAGUGAGAUACCACUCCUAUAAUGUUAGAUUUCUAACUUUGGAUCAUGAUCUGGUCAAAGAACAGUUUCAGGCGGGCAGUUUGACUGGGGCGGUCGCCUCCCAAAUGGUAACGGAGGCGUACAAAGGUUUCCUCUGAACGGGUAGAAAUCGUAUCUAGAGUGUAAAGGCAUAAGGAAGCUUGACUGUGAGACCUACAAGUCGAGCAGGGACGAAAGUCGGUCUUAGUGAUCUGACGGUGCUGAGUGGAAAGGCCGUCACUCAACGGAUAAAAGUUACUCUAAGGAUAACAGGCUGAUCUCCCCCAAGAGUUCACAUCGACGGGGAGGUUUGGCACCUCGAUGUCGGCUCAUCGCAUCCUGGGGCGGUAGUACGUCCCAAGGGUUGGGCUGUUCGCCCAUGAAAGCGGUACGCGAGCUGGGUUCAGAACGUCGUGAGACAGUUCGGUCCAUAUCCGGUGUAGGCGUUAGAAUAUUGAGAGGAGCCUUCUUUAGUACGAGAGGACCGAGAAGGACAUACCUCUGGUGUACCAGUUAUCGUGCCAACGGUAAACGCUGGGUAGCUAUGUAUGGAGAGGAUAACCGCUGAAAGCAUCUAAGUGGGAAGCCCACCUCAAGAUGAGUAUUC